Molecule: ribosomal RNA, 480 nt
Filed under: Streptococcus mutans
Lineage: Bacteria; Bacillati; Bacillota; Bacilli; Lactobacillales; Streptococcaceae
Description: bacterial SSU rRNA
Rfam family: Bacterial small subunit ribosomal RNA
Source: RNAcentral
GACGAACGCGGGCGGCGUGCUAAUACAUGCAAGUGGGACGCAAGGAAACACACUGUGCUUGCACACCGUGUUUUCUUGAGUCGCGAACGGGUGAGUAACGCGUAGGUAACCUGCCUAUAAGCGGGGGAUAACUAUGGGAAACGAUAGCUAAUACCGCAUAAUAUUAAUUAUUGCAUGAUAAUUGAUUGAAAGAUGCAAGCGCAUCACUAGUAGAUGGACCUGCGUUGUAUUAGCUAGUUGGUAAGGUAAGAGCUUACCAAGGCGACGAUACAUAGCCGACCUGAGAGGGUGAUCGGCCACACUGGGACUGAGACACGGCCCAGACUCCUACGGGAGGCAGCAGUAGGGAAUCUUCGGCAAUGGACGAAAGUCUGACCGAGCAACGCCGCGUGAGUGAAGAAGGUUUUCGGAUCGUAAAGCUCUGUUGUAAGUCAAGAACGUGUGUGAGAGUGGAAAGUUCACACAGUGACGGAGCUACCA